CCAGCACGUUUAAGAUGCGCAAUUGAAAGCACCAUUAGUUUAACAAGGUGCACAUAAACGCACCAUGGAGUCCCCUCGGAGCCCACAUGCUUUACCUUCAUUUUUGUUUCCAUAACUCACUCACUGG
Long non-coding RNA from Sander lucioperca (pikeperch), 127 nucleotides. RefSeq lists it as uncharacterized. The transcript is spliced from 3 exons. NCBI's taxonomy places the organism in Eukaryota, Metazoa, Chordata, Actinopteri, Perciformes, Percidae. The record is from RefSeq and is a predicted model, not a curated record.